Callithrix jacchus (white-tufted-ear marmoset) is the source of this 1503-nucleotide non-coding RNA. Lineage: Eukaryota; Metazoa; Chordata; Mammalia; Primates; Cebidae. The record is from RefSeq and is a predicted model, not a curated record.
UAAAUCCCCAGCAGCACAGGGAGUGCCGAGAGGGAAGUUGGCAUUUGAAAGGCUUGCAGUAUCAGCUAAUUGGUCUCAAACCUAAAUCAUAAAAAGACCUGUAAUUAUGCUGUUCAGAAUUAACACAGAAGACUGUUGGGUUGGUGGUGGUGGAGAGAAGGAGGGGCGACGAUGGGAGAAAAAGUCCAUUUUCUAAGUGAAUUUAUACUAUUAUAAGACCUGUCGCGGGCCCUGGCUCCCUUCCUUCAAUUGCCAACUUCAGAGAGAAGCUUACACAAUUGGAAAAGGAGGCUGGAGAUUCAUCUCCUCUUAACUGUAAAGGUGGCAAAUCUCUCUCAACUCUUUGGUUAGAAAAUACAGCUAAGCUCCACUAUGACACAACAUGCCCCUGGCAUUGGCUGAUCCAAGAGGAUAAGAGAUUUGUGGAGCAGACCUAGACCCAACCAGGAGCCUGGAGCCAAGACCAGCAGAGCCCAGCUGCCACAAUUGACCUGCAGUACUGCUGCUCCAGGCUGGCAUGUGGGAAUUCUCUCCUAACUCUUCAAGUUUUGCCAGCAUAGUGAAGCCGGCAUCUUCUCUAAUCUGAGACCCCCUGCUCCUUCAGGACCUGCCCCACUGGGGACAAGAAUGAACACGCUGUGUUGUAUGACAGUGAACCACCAAGAAAUACAAAGAAUGUGUGUUGAGGAGCCCAGAGUUAACACUGCAUAGAUACCAGGAUACUGUUGAGUAGAAGUGUUGAGAAUGGACUACUUGACUGAGGCUGGAUUUUAAGGAGGAAAGCAUCCAGUCUUUCACCCUUAGUUAUAGCUUUCCUCCUGCAUUCUUCUAUGAACAGACGACAGAAGAAGCUAGACAACAUCUUUAACACGCUGCCUGGAAAGCUCCUCAGCUAUAUAUCCAGUUCAUUAGAUCUCCCUUACAGAAGCAAGAAGUUGGACCCAGGCAAAUCUCUGAAUCCACCGAAGAUAGUUGAGACUUGGAUGUUAAAUGAGAUGUUCAGUGAAUCACAACUCUCCUACCACAGAUAUGGGCAUUUGAACACGUGCCCUUGCUAGCGUAGUGGGGAAAAAUGAGCUGUGUCUGUAUGAAUAAAAACCAGAUGGGGCUGUGGCUCUCUGCCUUCAGCGUGACUUGCUCCACACCAUCAAGACUCAUUGGCAUGCAUCUGCAUUCUGCUCCCUGCCCAUGGUCAAUUUUUCAAGAACUAAGUAUCAGUGAGAAGGUAAGCAGUACACAAUAAUGGGUGGGCAUUAAUUAAGUCCACACUGGGCAGACUCCAGCAGAACACAUGUCUAAUGGCUACACAGAGAGGACAGAAUAAAAAUCAAUCUGGUUAAUGUUAUUCUGGCCUCUGUCAAGGGAUGAGGAAAUGGACUUAUCAUGCUUUGAAAUGUAAUGCAAACUUGGAUAUCAGAAUGAUAGACAAGAUAAAAUACAGAGAGAACUGGUUUUCUCCCUCCUCCAAAGCUCCCUAGAAGAGCCAACUUCCCAUUUGACAGU